Long non-coding RNA from Pogoniulus pusillus (Red-fronted tinkerbird), 482 nucleotides. RefSeq lists it as uncharacterized. The record is from RefSeq and is a predicted model, not a curated record. The transcript has 3 exons. Lineage: Eukaryota; Metazoa; Chordata; Aves; Piciformes; Lybiidae.
UGGAGAGGAAAGUAAGAAGAUGGAAAGAAAGGGAGGGAGAUGGGGGAAGGAGGAAGAUGGAGAGGUGCAGAAGAGCUGUGGGAAAGGAUGGGAAGAGACUAACAACAGGCAGAUGCUUAUGAUACCCCCCCUUGGUUGCCAGCAGCUGCACUGCCUUUACCUCAGCAGGAGUAGCUUCUGCUCCAUGCCUCUGCCCACUGCAGCAUCGAAGCCGCUGAAGAGCUCUUGCAGCUGCUAACAGCAACUUAUUUUCCUUCUUCCCUGUGGCAAGGAAGAAAAAGGAAACCUGAUGCCAAUUUAUUUCCAGUUAUUGUCUGCUCCUGCAGCAGUGGCUCAUUUAGAAAGUUUAAUCACCAGGUAGCUCAUUCUGCUUUUGCACAGAGCAUCUUUUGUGUGGUGAGACACGUUGCCCAUUGUGUUCUUCCCCCAACACUGUUUUUGUGGAGUGAGCCUUGAAAAUCAUUUUCCUUGGCCAUUUCUCU